This 23-nucleotide non-coding RNA is filed under the name Arabidopsis thaliana (thale cress). The record is from RNAcentral. Lineage: Eukaryota; Viridiplantae; Streptophyta; Magnoliopsida; Brassicales; Brassicaceae.
UACCACGUUACUCGACCCCUGGU